CACCGCGGGAAUACAGAGGGUGCAAGCGUUAAUCGGAUUUACUGGGCGUAAAGGGCGCGUAGGUGGUUAUGUAAGUGAGAUGUGAAAUCCCCGGGCUCAACCUGGGAACUGCAUCUUAUACUGCGUAGCUGGAGUGCAGUAGAGGGUAGUGGAAUUUCCGGUGUAGCGGUGAAAUGCGUAGAUAUAGGAAGGAACACCAGUGGCGAAGGCGACCACCUGGACUGAUACUGACACUGAGGUGCGAAAGCGUGGGGAGCAAACAGGAUUAGAUACCCCCGUAGUCCCUGUCUCUUAUACACAU
RNAcentral lists this ribosomal RNA (301 nucleotides) under uncultured bacterium. RNAcentral's name for it is "partial 16S ribosomal RNA". It matches the Rfam family "Bacterial small subunit ribosomal RNA", at positions 513 to 816 of the family's 1533-position model. The record is from RNAcentral.